This is a small nucleolar RNA of Chinchilla lanigera (long-tailed chinchilla), 71 nucleotides long. Its record names the gene SNORD82. It matches the Rfam family "Small nucleolar RNA SNORD82". Rfam says of the family: snoRNA U82 or Z25 is found in both humans and mice. U82/Z25 is a member of the C/D class of snoRNA which contain C (UGAUGA) and D (CUGA) box motifs. Most of the members of the box C/D family function in directing site-specific 2'-O-methylation of substrate RNAs. NCBI's taxonomy places the organism in Eukaryota, Metazoa, Chordata, Mammalia, Rodentia, Chinchillidae. The record is from Ensembl.
GGCGCAAAGGAUGAACGACAAAGGGACUUAAUACUGAAACCUGAUGUUAACGUUGCGAUGUACUGAUGUGC